UUUCUUUUUGGAUAUUCAAUGUUCCUCACAAAAAUAAAAGAUUCUCUCUUUAAAUUCCUUAAUCUUGCUUCCUAAAUGAUUCUCUAGCUUUUUAUAAUCUUAAAAGUGGCUAGAGAAUAUGUUUUGACCGUUGGAGUCCUUGAAAUAGCUAUUAAGAACAAAAACUAGCCGUUGGAGAAGUAUAGAAAACUAGCCAUUGUAGUGCAGUCCUAGGCCACGAGUCCAUUUGAUUUUUAUUUGGAGUUACUUGAUUUUCGAACCGACUCAAUUUUUGCGUCGACUCGAUUUUUAUUUUCAAUCAACUCGAUCUUAGAUAUGCAAAAUUCAACUUUCUAUUUUUCUGAAAGAGAGUCGACUUCUACUAUUCAUAAGUCGAUCGAGCUCUGUGCCACAUGAUACCAACGUGGCAGAAUUGACUCAAAAUCUCUCGGAGUCAACUCAAAACCUUCCAACUAUACUCUUUUUAUAUUUUUGCCUCUUAAAAUUGAAUUUCUCAAUCUUAGUGCUUUCAAAUGAUAUUUUAUUCUUUCAAAUUCAUUUUUUUCAUAAUGAGCUAUCCAAACUUGUGAGAAUUUAUUCUUUUAAGUCCUUUAGUUUGGCAUCUUGAGAGGAUUUCUUUCAAGAAUAAUUUCUUCACUGUGAGCAUAAAAAAAAUCUUAUAUUCAUUCUUGAAACACAUGAUUAAUAAUCUUUAUGCUCAAAAUUUUGUGAUCAUCAAGAUCAAUCAUAGAGUCAACAA
This 739-nucleotide long non-coding RNA is filed under the name Elaeis guineensis (African oil palm). RNAcentral describes it as "long non-coding RNA (EGUI_LNC024709)". The record is from RNAcentral. Lineage: Eukaryota; Viridiplantae; Streptophyta; Magnoliopsida; Arecales; Arecaceae.